RNAcentral lists this transfer RNA (90 nucleotides) under Bombyx mori (domestic silkworm). It matches the Rfam family "tRNA". From Rfam's summary of the family: Transfer RNA (tRNA) molecules are approximately 80 nucleotides in length. Their secondary structure includes four short double-helical elements and three loops (D, anti-codon, and T loops). Further hydrogen bonds mediate the characteristic L-shaped molecular structure. tRNAs have two regions of fundamental functional importance: the anti-codon, which is responsible for specific mRNA codon recognition, and the 3' end, to which the tRNAs corresponding amino acid is attached (by aminoacyl-tRNA synthetases). tRNAs cope with the degeneracy of the genetic code in two manners: having more than one tRNA (with a specific anti-codon) for a particular amino acid; and 'wobble' base-pairing, i.e. permitting non-standard base-pairing at the 3rd anti-codon position. The record is from Rfam by way of RNAcentral. Lineage: Eukaryota; Metazoa; Arthropoda; Insecta; Lepidoptera; Bombycidae.
CCUUCGAUAGCUCAGUUGGUAGAGCGGUGGACUGUAGUUGGUAUUCAUGUGGACAUCCAUAGGUCGCUGGUUCAAAUCCGGCUCGAAGGA